RNAcentral lists this ribosomal RNA (371 nucleotides) under uncultured bacterium. RNAcentral's name for it is "bacterial SSU rRNA". It matches the Rfam family "Bacterial small subunit ribosomal RNA", at positions 525 to 896 of the family's 1533-position model. The record is from RNAcentral.
ACGUAGGGUGCAAGCGUUAAUCGGAAUUACUGGGCGUAAAGCGUGCGCAGGCGGUUGUGCAAGACAGGUGUGAAAUCCCCGGGCUUAACCUGGGAACUGCACUUGUGACUGCACGGCUUGAGUGCGGCAGAGGGGGAUGGAAUUCCGCGUGUAGCAGUGAAAUGCGUAGAUAUGCGGAGGAACACCGAUGGCGAAGGCAAUCCCCUGGACCUGUACUGACGCUCAUGCACGAAAGCGUGGGGAGCAAACAGGAUUAGAUACCCUGGUAGUCCACGCCCUAAACGAUGUCAACUGGUUGUUGGGUCUUCACUGACUCAGUAACGAAGCUAACGCGUGAAGUUGACCGCCUGGGGAGUACGGCCGCAAGGUUG